RNAcentral lists this non-coding RNA (24 nucleotides) under Cricetulus griseus (Chinese hamster). Lineage: Eukaryota; Metazoa; Chordata; Mammalia; Rodentia; Cricetidae. The record is from RNAcentral. RNAcentral also lists the same sequence under 1 other name.
GUUGGUCCGAGAGUAGUGGUGUUU